Molecule: microRNA precursor, 86 nt
Filed under: Solanum lycopersicum (tomato)
Lineage: Eukaryota; Viridiplantae; Streptophyta; Magnoliopsida; Solanales; Solanaceae
Description: MIR8024 microRNA precursor family
Rfam family: MIR8024 microRNA precursor family
Source: Rfam by way of RNAcentral
UUGAAGAAUUUGAAGACUUCAACUUAUAGACUUGGAGAUUUUGAAGACUUCAAGUUGCAAACUUGAAGAUUUUAAAGACUUCAACU